This 462-nucleotide long non-coding RNA is filed under the name Elaeis guineensis (African oil palm). Its description in RNAcentral is "long non-coding RNA (EGUI_LNC026546)". The record is from RNAcentral. Lineage: Eukaryota; Viridiplantae; Streptophyta; Magnoliopsida; Arecales; Arecaceae.
UCAGCCCAGGCCAAGGAGGAGGAUGUGACCUUUGUCCGAGGAGCUAAGGUCACAGGUUAGCAUUGGAUGACCUAAGCGGACUUCGGUAGGAUCGAGAUGAAUUUCUCAAUUGGUGACAAAGUCCGAACGAUCGCCCAUCAUGAGGCUUCUACCUAUUCCUCAGUCAAUGCCAAGAACAUGCUCGAUUGAGGCUGAGGCGGAGUGGAGAUCCAUGAUAGAUGCCCCCUACUCUCGAGCCCAAGUUCGAACGAGGUCGGUCGAAGAGAAAACAAUUCCGACACUGAGGUCAACUUUACCGAAUGUCAUCUGAAUUUUCAUUCAUUGACACAUGUCAAAGAUUGGUGUUAGUUGGUAAAAUGAUUUUCUCAUCUAGACCGUCAAACCCCUGGAUCUACGUGACUGUUGUUAUGGCCAAUCGGAUGCUGCCAAUUGGCGCUCAUCAAUGGUGGGAGGUGAAUCGUU